RNAcentral lists this ribosomal RNA (369 nucleotides) under uncultured organism. RNAcentral describes it as "partial 16S ribosomal RNA". It matches the Rfam family "Bacterial small subunit ribosomal RNA", at positions 527 to 896 of the family's 1533-position model. The record is from RNAcentral.
GAAGGGGGCUAGCGUUGCUCGGAAUCACUGGGCGUAAAGGGUGCGUAGGCGGGUCUUUAAGUCAGAGGUGAAAGCCUGGAGCUCAACUCCAGAACUGCCUUUGAUACUGAGGAUCUUGAGUAUGGGAGAGGUGAGUGGAACUGCGAGUGUAGAGGUGAAAUUCGUAGAUAUUCGCAAGAACACCAGUGGCGAAGGCGGCUCACUGGCCCAUAACUGACGCUGAGGCACGAAAGCGUGGGGAGCAAACAGGAUUAGAUACCAUGGUAGUCCCACGCCCGUAAACGAUGAAUGCCAGCCCGUUAGUGGGUUUACUCACUAGUGGCGCAGCUAACGCUUAAGCAUUCCGCCUGGGAGUCGGUCGCAAGAUUA